RNAcentral lists this ribosomal RNA (425 nucleotides) under uncultured eukaryote. RNAcentral's name for it is "SSU rRNA". It matches the Rfam family "Eukaryotic small subunit ribosomal RNA", at positions 567 to 990 of the family's 1831-position model. The record is from RNAcentral.
CCAGCAGCCGCGGUAAUUCCAGCUCCAAUAGCGUAUAUUAAAGUUGCUGCAGUUAAAAAGCUCGUAGUUGGAUCUCGGGUGCAGGCUUGCGGUCCGUCUCGCGGCGGUCACUGCUCGUCCUGGCCUCCCAGCCGGCGUACCGUCCCUUGGUGCUCUUGACUGAGUGUCUCGGGCGGCCGGAACGUUUACUUUGAAGAAAUUAGAGUGCUCAAAGCAGGCCUUGGUCGCCUGAAUAAUGGUGCAUGGAAUAAUGGAAUAGGACCUCGGUUCUAUUUUGUUGGUUUUCGGAGCUCGAGGUAAUGAUUAAUAGGGACUGACGGGGGCAUUCGUAUUGCGGCGCUAGAGGUGAAAUUCUUGGACCGUCGCAAGACGAACUACAGCGAAAGCAUUUGCCAAGCAUGUUUUCAUUAAUCAAGAACGAAAGU